UCGUCUUUAAGCAUGCUAUCUGGUCAGCCGCGGUAAUACAUAGGUGGCAAGCGUUAUCCGGAUUUAUUGGGCGUAUAGGGUGCGUAGGCGGUUUUGCAAGUUUGAGGUUAAAGCCCGGAGCUCAACUCCGGUCCGCCUUGAAAACUGCAUUACUAGAAUGCAAGAGAGGUAAGUUGAAUUCCAUGUGUAGCUGUGAAAUGCGUAGAUAUAUGGAAGAACACCUGUGGCGACAGCGGCUUACUGGCUUGUUAUUGACGCUGAGGCACGAAAGCGUGGGGAGCAAAUAGGAUUAGAUACCCUAGUAGUCCACGCCGUAAACGAUGAGUACUAGGUGUUGGGGUUAUCUCAGCGCCGCAGCUAACGCAUUAAGUACUCCGCCUGAGUGGUAUGCUCGCAAGAGUGAAACUCAAAGGUAUU
RNAcentral lists this ribosomal RNA (417 nucleotides) under Klebsiella pneumoniae. RNAcentral describes it as "bacterial SSU rRNA". It matches the Rfam family "Bacterial small subunit ribosomal RNA", at positions 476 to 911 of the family's 1533-position model. The record is from RNAcentral. Lineage: Bacteria; Pseudomonadati; Pseudomonadota; Gammaproteobacteria; Enterobacterales; Enterobacteriaceae.